This 604-nucleotide ribosomal RNA is filed under the name Lactiplantibacillus plantarum. RNAcentral describes it as "bacterial SSU rRNA". It matches the Rfam family "Bacterial small subunit ribosomal RNA", at positions 60 to 645 of the family's 1533-position model. Lineage: Bacteria; Bacillati; Bacillota; Bacilli; Lactobacillales; Lactobacillaceae. The record is from RNAcentral.
AGUCGAACGAACUCUGGUAUUGAUUGGUGCUUGCAUCAUGAUUUACAUUUGAGUGAGUGGCGAACUGGUGAGUAACACGUGGGAAACCUGCCCAGAAGCGGGGGAUAACACCUGGAAACAGAUGCUAAUACCGCAUAACAACUUGGACCGCAGGUCCGAGCUUGAAAGAUGGCUUCGGCUAUCACUUUUGGAUGGUCCCGCGGCGUAUUAGCUAGAUGGUGGGGUAACGGCUCACCAUGGCAAUGAUACGUAGCCGACCUGAGAGGGUAAUCGGCCACAUUGGGACUGAGACACGGCCCAAACUCCUACGGGAGGCAGCAGUAGGGAAUCUUCCACAAUGGACGAAAGUCUGAUGGAGCAACGCCGCGUGAGUGAAGAAGGGUUUCGGCUCGUAAAACUCUGUUGUUAAAGAAGAACAUAUCUGAGAGUAACUGUUCAGGUAUUGACGGUAUUUAACCAGAAAGCCACGGCUAACUACAUGCCAGCAGCCGCGGUAAUACUUAGGUGGCAAGCGUGUCCGGAUUAUGGGCGAAAGCAACCCCGGCGUUUUUAUUCUGAUGUGAAGCUUGAGCUCNCCGACAAUGCAUCAGAACUGGGAACUUGA